UCAUCAGCAGGGACUCUGCGGCAACUCACCUGCUUUCUGCUCCAAGAGUCCAGCACCCUGAGAUCCUGAUGCCAGGGUAACAGCUCUGUCAUCUAUGGCUCAAACGUCACUCACCAGGGAGUUGCUGCAGACCUGUAUGUAUCCUUAUCAGAGAAAUAGANGCUAUUGAGAACCUAAGCCGGUGCCUCAUGGAUAAGGAAACUCCAUGGAAGUUAGAGCUGCCCUGUAAUUUGCAUCCCCCAUAUCUUAGAAACCAGAAUGAAAGGUCUACAGCAGAGACUGAAGAGAGGAAGGCUCAUCACUUGGACCACCAAAGAACUAAGAAAGGUCUCAAGAUCCCUCUGCUAUGGUUAAAUCUAGUCAAGCAACCCAUCCCAGCAAGAGGCAGGAGGCGGUUCAGAGAGUCAUCAAAGCCAUUUUCACAAGGUAGACAUAGGACUGGGGGAAUUAAAGGUUUUCAUGGCCUCACUUGCCAACCUGCCCC
Molecule: long non-coding RNA, 484 nt
Filed under: Mus caroli (Ryukyu mouse)
Lineage: Eukaryota; Metazoa; Chordata; Mammalia; Rodentia; Muridae
Description: lncRNA (MGP_CAROLIEiJ_G0003331.1)
Source: RNAcentral